This 363-nucleotide ribosomal RNA is filed under the name Triticum aestivum (bread wheat). RNAcentral's name for it is "partial small subunit ribosomal RNA". Lineage: Eukaryota; Viridiplantae; Streptophyta; Magnoliopsida; Poales; Poaceae. The record is from RNAcentral.
AUGGCUGCACCAACUUUACGAGUCACUACCAUGCAUAUCAAUUCGGCCAUUCUUGCUGCAAAAAGCCCUUUCUUUUUCAAGCUUUUCUCAAACGGCAUGAAAGAGUCUGACAAGGGACAGGCAACACUUCGAAUAGCUGAUUCAGAGGAAAAUGCCUUCAUGGAGCUUUUGUACUUUAUGUAUAGUGGAAAGUUGACACCAACAACUGAGCCCACUCAUCUGGUUGAUAUCUUGAUGGCCGCUGACAAAUUUGAGAUCUACCAUAUUCCAUUUCAAUGGCACCUGCCCUGGCAGUGGCAGCCAAGAAAUUCUUUGCUGAAAGAUACAAGGAUUUCCUGUCAACAAAGUUACAAGACGAACUGA